This 75-nucleotide transfer RNA is filed under the name Haloferula rosea. RNAcentral describes it as "tRNA-Thr". It matches the Rfam family "tRNA". Rfam says of the family: Transfer RNA (tRNA) molecules are approximately 80 nucleotides in length. Lineage: Bacteria; Pseudomonadati; Verrucomicrobiota; Verrucomicrobiia; Verrucomicrobiales; Verrucomicrobiaceae. The record is from RNAcentral. RNAcentral also lists the same sequence under 4 other names.
GCUUGUGUAGCUCAGGGGUAGAGCACACCCUUGGUAAGGGUGAGGUCGCGGGUUCAAUUCCCGCCACAAGCUCCA